GACGAACGCUGGCGGCGUGCCUAAUACAUGCAAGUAGAACGCUCAAGGAGGAGCUUGCUCUUCUGGACGAGUUGCGAACGGGUGAGUAACGCGUAGGUAACCUGCCUGGUAGCGGCGGAUAACUCUUCGAAACGCUAGCUCAUACCGCAUAAGAGUAGAUGUUGCAUGACAUUUACUUAAAAGGUGCAAUUGCAUCACUACUAGAUGGUCCUGCCUUGUAUUAGGUAGUUGGUGGGGUAACGGCUUACCAAGGCGACGAUACAUAGCCGACCUGGGGAGGGGGUCCGCCAAACUGGGAACGGGACCCGGCCCAGACUCCUACGGGGGGCAGCAGUAGGGGAUCUUCGGCAAUGGACGGAAGUCUGACCGAGCAAAGCCGGGUGGGUGAAGAAGGUUCUCGGAUCGUAAAGCUCUGUUGUAAGGGGAGAACGAGUGUGGGAGUGGAAAGUUCACGCUGUGACGGUAUCUUACCAGAAAGGGACGGCUAACUACGUG
Molecule: ribosomal RNA, 495 nt
Filed under: uncultured bacterium
Lineage: Bacteria
Description: partial 16S ribosomal RNA
Rfam family: Bacterial small subunit ribosomal RNA
Source: RNAcentral